This 253-nucleotide ribosomal RNA is filed under the name uncultured bacterium. RNAcentral describes it as "partial 16S ribosomal RNA". It matches the Rfam family "Bacterial small subunit ribosomal RNA", at positions 524 to 776 of the family's 1533-position model. The record is from RNAcentral.
UACGUAGGUGGCAAGCGUUGUCCGGAAUUAUUGGGCGUAAAGCGCGCGCAGGCGGCCUCCUAAGUCCGAUGUGAAAGCCCACGGCUCAACCGUUGAGGGUCAUUGGAAACUGGGGGUCUUGAGUGCAGGAGAGAAGAGUGGAAUUCCACGUGUAGCGGUGAAAUGCGUAGAGAUGUGGAGGAACACCAGUGGCGAAGGCGACUCUUUGGCCUGUAACUGACGCUGAGGCGCGAAAGCGUGGGGAGCAAACAGG